Mauremys reevesii (Reeves's turtle) is the source of this 314-nucleotide long non-coding RNA. RefSeq lists it as uncharacterized. The transcript is spliced from 3 exons. The record is from RefSeq and is a predicted model, not a curated record. Lineage: Eukaryota; Metazoa; Chordata; Testudines; Geoemydidae.
GCCAGGGCCUGAGAAGGAGGCCUGGGACCUACAAGGAACAGACUGUGAACUGCCCUGACAUGCCAGAGACACUGUUUGUAAUGUCCCCUGCCACAAAGCGGAUUGACUGUUAAAGUUUGAGGCCCUUUCAGCUUAAAAGUAUGAACCCACAGCAGAACUGAGUUUCAUCUACCUAUGCAACUAAUGGUGCUCUUUUUUACAACCAUAAAGAUUCAUUUGCCGACAGCAAUCAUUUCUCACCAGGCAGAAACCUUUGUAGGCAUCUUGGCUUCAUCUCUUGCAGUGUCUUGGAGCCACCUCAGCUAAAGACAGGC